Molecule: ribosomal RNA, 778 nt
Filed under: uncultured Neocallimastigales
Lineage: Eukaryota; Fungi; Neocallimastigomycota; Neocallimastigomycetes; Neocallimastigales
Description: partial large subunit ribosomal RNA
Rfam family: Eukaryotic large subunit ribosomal RNA
Source: RNAcentral
GUACACGCUGUGACUAGCAUAUCAAUAAGCGGAGGAAAAGAAACUAACAAGGAUUCCCCUAGUAACGGCGAGUGAAGCGGGAAGAGCUCAAAUUUGAAAUCUUAAAGGGUUUCCCUUUACGAAUUGUAGUUUAAAGAAGUGUUUUCUGUUGAGGUUUUGGUAAAAGUUCUUUGGAAUAGGACAUCAUAGAGGGUGAGAAUCCCGUAUUUGACCUUUACUUUCAACUUUGUGAUACACUUUCAAAGAGUCGGAUUGUUUGGGAAUGCAGUCCAAAAUGGGUGGUAAAUUUCAUCUAAAGCUAAAUAUUGGCGAGAGACCGAUAGCGAACAAGGUACCGUGAGGGAAAGAUGAAAAGAACUUUGAAAAGAGAGGUUAAACAGUACGUGAAAUUGUCAGAAGGGGAAGCGUUUGACACCAGUGUUGUUUUUCUGAAAAUCAAUUAAAGAACUGUUUAUGCUAAGUUGUUUAGACUUUAUCAGCUAUCUGUUUAGUUUUGAGCUUUUCUUUAAUGCACUUUUCAGUUAACAAGUCAACAUCAAUUUCUUUUGCUGUAAAAAAGCUUGAGGAAGGUGGCUUGAGAUUCGUCUUAAGUGUUUAUAGCCUCUUGCCUAUGCAGUCGGAGAGAUUGAGGUCUGCAGCGUAGAUCCUUCGGGGCUAAACUGCAUUUGUGCUAAGUUAUAGCAUUUUAUAGACAACUUGUUGACUAUGAUUUGUCUUGUAGCUUACUCGCUUAUGUUAUUUUACCUACGCUUAGGAUGUUGAAGAUGUAGCACAUCAU